GAUUGAACGUGCUUGCACGGACUUGACGUUGGUUUACCAGCGAGUGGCGGACGGGUGAGUAACACGUAGGUAACCUGCCCCAAAGCGGGGGAUAACAUUUGGAAACAGAUGCUAAUACCGCAUAACAAUUUGAAUCGCAUGAUUCAAAUUUAAAAGAUGGCUUCGGCUAUCACUUUGGGAUGGACCUGCGGCGCAUUAGCUUGUUGGUAGGGUAACGGCCUACCAAGGCUGUGAUGCGUAGCCGAGUUGAGAGACUGAUCGGCCACAAUGGAACUGAGACACGGUCCAUACUCCUACGGGAGGCAGCAGUAGGGAAUCUUCCACAAUGGGCGCAAGCCUGAUGGAGCAACACCGCGUGAGUGAAGAAGGGUUUCGGCUCGUAAAGCUCUGUUGUUAGAGAAGAACGUGCGUGAGAGCAACUGUUCACGCAGUGACGGUAUCUAACCAGAAAGUCACGGCUAACUACGUGCCAGCAGCCGCGGUAAUACGUAGGUGGCAAGCGUUAUCCGGAUUUAUUGGGCGUAAAGCGAGCGCAGGCGGUUUGAUAAGUCUGAUGUGAAAGCCUUUGGCUUAACCAAAGAAGUGCAUCGGAAACUGUCAGACUUGAGUGCAGAAGAGGACAGUGG
This 626-nucleotide ribosomal RNA is filed under the name Limosilactobacillus mucosae. Its description in RNAcentral is "bacterial SSU rRNA". It matches the Rfam family "Bacterial small subunit ribosomal RNA", at positions 47 to 664 of the family's 1533-position model. Lineage: Bacteria; Bacillati; Bacillota; Bacilli; Lactobacillales; Lactobacillaceae. The record is from RNAcentral.